AUUGAACGCUGGCGGAAUGCUUUACACAUGCAAGUCGAGCGGCAGCGCGGGGGCAACCCUGGCGGCGAGCGGCGAACGGGUGAGUAAUACAUCGGAACGUGUCCUUAAGUGGGGGAUAGCUCGGCGAAAGCCGGAUUAAUACCGCAUAAGCUCUGAGGAGGAAAGCGGGGGCUCCGUAAGGACCUCGCGCUGUUGGAGCGGCCGAUGUCGGAUUAGCUAGUUGGUGGGGUAAAAGGCCCCACCAAGGCGACGAUCCGUAGCUGGUCUGAGAGGAUGAUCAGCCACACUGGAACUGAGACACGGUCCAGACUCCUACGGGAGGCAGCAGUGGGGAAUUUUGGACAAUGGGGGCAACCCUGAUCCAGCCAUUCCGCGUGAGUGAAGAAGGCC
This 390-nucleotide ribosomal RNA is filed under the name uncultured bacterium. Its description in RNAcentral is "bacterial SSU rRNA". It matches the Rfam family "Bacterial small subunit ribosomal RNA", at positions 29 to 416 of the family's 1533-position model. The record is from RNAcentral.